Molecule: ribosomal RNA, 205 nt
Filed under: uncultured bacterium
Lineage: Bacteria
Description: partial 16S ribosomal RNA
Rfam family: Bacterial small subunit ribosomal RNA
Source: RNAcentral
UACAGAGGUCUCAAGCGUUGUUCGGAUUCAUUGGCGUAAAGGGUGCGUAGGUGGCGCUGUAAGUCGGGUGUGAAAUUCGGAGCUUAACUCCGAAACUGCAUUCGAUACUGCGGUGCUUGAGGACUGGAGAGGAGACUGGAAUUCAUGGUGUAGCAGUGAAAUGCGUAGAGAUCAUGAGGAAGACCAGUGGCGAAGGCGGGUCUCU